UAUCUGCUAGCUUGCCCUAAGAAAAACAACAGUUCCACAGAUAUCUCCAGUGCUUUUCUAUUCGAAACACAAGGGCGCUAAGCAAAGAGAAUUUCAAUUAACGAACAGUAGGUGCUUUUUCUUCCUUGGCCCAUCUCAGUGAUAUGUAGGCUCUCAGCCCUUACUUGAAUCAUCCGUCCUCCCUACAGAAAGAAAGCGAUUUUAUGCCCUCCCGAAGGAAAACGUUUGGGCCGGCUGGAGCUCGACACGGAGCAAAAUGUAGAUGAUCUCCGCAAAUGGGCGAGGUAGAAGGACGUGGUUGGAAGUUUUUUGACACGAGGCCUUGCGCAAAAGACGAGUACUUCAGAGCCCACCAGGAAAAGGAUAUUGGUUCGCAUCUCUAUAUUGAUCCGCGGCGCUUCUAUGAAGUUUUCCUUGUCUCCGAUUUCAAAGCUGAAUGGAUGACUGAAUCUGUCGAAGCAUCAUUCGAUAUUUGCAGAUUGACGUAAUGCUAUGAGGAGUUAGAGUCUUCUGCGGGAAAGACAUUUAUUGUAGAGUUUUGUAGAUCUUUUUGCUCUACUUUUUCUAGUAUUCCUUACAUAAGAUCUCGGAAGAGCCGAUGUUUCCUUCCGUUCCCGGUAAAUAGGAAUUCUAUAUCCUCUAGCUCUUCGUGACCUGUUGUGUCUGCCCUCGACUUAGCCGUCAUAGAAUAGAAAGGUUUCUAACCGUUGAAAAGGAUACUUCUAAACGUUAAGGGGCGCUCAACCUUCCACUCAAAUCCUUUUUACCAGAAGGGAGCUCGCCUGCCACGACAUAUAAGGGAAAAGGCAAUGUGUGGAACUAGAUCAAGUUUGAUCUGCCACUUACACUGGAAGGGCAAGAACUAAUGCUUAUGCGUAUUCUUCCACGGCAUAUAGAAGGUUAACUACUCCAACUCGAUGGCUGAGAGAAAAGUGAAAUCCUAGCUUUCCCUAGAAUCAGCUCUUUACUAUCCUGCCCCAGGGGGUUUUUCGGAGACAUUGAACCCUAGAUUUAGAAGCUUUCCCAAACAAACCUUUUGANNNNNNNNNNGAGGGAGAAGUUCACGCUUGAUCUUCGACCCAAGACAAUGGAAGGGAGCUAAAGCCUUCUUCCUUUUUCAAAUUCGUUUAUAUGGAGCAAAAAGAGGUCGUGUCAUACCAUUUAUUCCGCCAAGAAGCAUUCGUCUACGGCACUUAGAACGCCUCGACACAUUUGUACUCACGCCUAGGACGGUCUUUCACACGGAAGUAAGAUUAGAGAGUUUGAUCAUAGUUUGACCGUAGUAAAAAAGAAGUCCCUUUCUCAUUUGCUUCCUGGUCAUCUCUAUAGAGAUAGAAGAAAGAAGUCCCAAGCAAGGGUCAUGCUAUUUCUAUUCUUUUCACUAUUGUUAUUCCCUAUUUCCUUAACUGAUCUUGAGUUGUACCGAAACAACAGAAAUAUGGUCUCUCAUAAAUUGAUUUCUUUCAUCACUGUUCUUAAAUCAAUCCGUGUCAGGUACAGAGCCAAUCUUCACAUCCCAUAUGUAAAACAAGUCGCUUUAUGGGCUCCUCGUGAAAUUACAACCUUUCUGAAGCCCUAGUCAAAAAGUUGUGCGAAACCUCAAUUGGUAAGAGGAGUAAACACCUAUUCUUUGGCCAUUCAAAACAUCGAAUUGGUUGGCUCGCUCAACCUCUCGAACCAGGACAAAACUUCCCAGCGUUGCAUUCACCGCCUAGCCUCGUCCAACAUGACUGUAAGGCACGUUUUGCAUGCCUUUAAAGUGUACCCCCUCGGAGGUAUCAAAAAGUGCGAGAAAUCGCAUUGAUGACUAAUAAAGUAGGGUUUUCACUCGUGUGGGUUCGCCCACCUUCCCUUCAGCAGCUCUCCCUGGACACCCUAUACUAAACUGAGGAAUUACUUAAGCUCCUGGCUUUUUUUCCAACAACUCAAAGCCGCUGCACCGACAGAUAACAUGCCGUGGAUCUUAUGUGGCGCUAAAACUUCAUGAUAGAUCAAAUCCUGAUUACGACUGGAGAGGGACGUUGAUGUUCCAAACAUUGGGUUCAAGAGCUCGGUUUGAUAGACAUAAACCUCAGUGAUCGGCUUUACACCAGGAAGGAGCAAUGAGAUAAACUCACCCCCCAUGGCGAGACUAGACAGAUUCAUGGCCUCCUGCUUGAACAUUGUCCCAAAAACAACGGUCACACCCUUGCCAAACACCUCCUCAGCUGACGAUAAUAUAUCGGACAUUGGACUGCAGGGCCUUAGUUGGCCAAGUAUGUUUUGUAUAUAAGGAUCCAUGGUCUUAUCAAACUCCAAUUACCAAAUGGUACAUACAGGAGUUGUUGCAUAAAAGGACGUACCAUUGCCACCAGUGAUCUUUAAAAGUGAUAAACUAAACUCAUCACGUUAGGAGAAUCCUCUAAACUUAAUAUAAUAGGCUCACUUUAUCACUAUAAACUUUUUAGUGAUGACCAAAUAACGAAAACACUUCGUUGAAUGACGUGUUGUUAAAGAAAAUAGCUGCGUCGCCCCCCUUCAAGACAGGAAACUAUAGACAGGUACCUGAGGUGCCCUGCUGAGAGAAGAAUUUGUCAACAAUCAAGCACUUGAGCUUGCAAGAAUAAAUAUAUGAUGUCUAUGCUAUUAUUGGGAUAAAAUGAAUCAAAAAAGCAGCAGAAUACGAGAAGGCUUUCUUUUCUUAAAGGGUGUAUACAUUAGAGUGUACCUGCUUGGUAGGCAUGAAAUCACUGACAAAGAGUUGCCUAGCUCCGAUGAGCUUGCAAGCAUAAUUUGGAAUUUCAUAGAAGCGGGCAUAGCUAGGGGUGAACCACGAGAAGUUAGAGCAAUUAAUGGGUAGGUAUCGUAAACAUCCUGAGUGUAUCACGGCAUUGAAGCAGAAGAAACAGAAAUGUUUUCCUUUCUUUCGCAUUUGAUUUGCAUGCCCCCUGUAGAUUUGACCCGGAGCCAAUGCCAGUCUUUUUUGCGAUCAAAUGCACUUGAGCUAGUCACUAAGUAAGGCGACAGCACCAAAAGAUGUGCAUGUGUCAUUAGGCCAUUGGAUUACUCAACAAAAAGUGAAGUGCCAAACGAUGAAGAAGAACACUUGAAACCAGGCACUGAACCCUAAAUGCUUCGCCUGGCUAACCAGAUAGAUUACUUCUAUCUGCUAGCUUGCCCUAAGAAAAACAACAGUUCCACAGAUAUCUCCAGUGCUUUUCUAUUCGAAACACAAGGGCGCUAAGCAAAGAGAAUUUCAAUUAACGAACAGUAGGUUCUUUUUCUUCCUUGGCCCAUCUCAGUGAUAUGUAGGCUCUCAGCCCUUACUUGAAUCAUCCGUCCUCCCUACAGAAAGAAAGCGAUUUUACGCCCUCCCGAAGGAAAACGUUUGGGCCGGCUGGAGCUCGACACGGAGCAAAAUGUAGAUGAUCUCCGCAAAUGGGCGAGGUAGGAGGACGUGGUUGGAAGUUUUUUGACACGAGGCCUUGCGCAAAAGACGAGUACUUCAGAGCCCACCAGGAAAAGGAUAUUGGUUCGCAUCUCUAUAUUGAUCCGCGGCGCUUCUAUGAAGUUUUCCUUGUCUCCGAUUUCAAAGCUGAAUGGAUGACUGAAUCUGUCGAAGCAUCAUUCGAUAUUUGCAGAUUGACGUAAUGCUAUGAGGAGUUAGAGUCUUCUGCGGGAAAGACAUUUCUUGUAGAGUUUUGUAGAUCUUUUUGCUCUACUUUUUCUAGUAUUCCUUACAUAAGAUCUCGGAAGAGCCGAUGUUUCCUUCCGUUCCCGGUAAAUAGGAAUUCUAUAUCCUCUAGCUCUUCGUGACCUGUUGUGUCUGCCCUCGACUUAGCCGUCAUAGAAUAGAAAGGUUUCUAACCGUUGAAAAGGAUACUUCUAAACGUUAAGGGGCGCUCAACCUUCCACUCAAAUCCUUUUUACCAGAAGGGAGCUCGCCUGCCACGACAUAUAAG
Molecule: long non-coding RNA, 3941 nt
Filed under: Triticum aestivum (bread wheat)
Lineage: Eukaryota; Viridiplantae; Streptophyta; Magnoliopsida; Poales; Poaceae
Description: long non-coding RNA (TAES_LNC004254)
Source: RNAcentral